UCCUUGAGGGGCCGCCCACCUAAAAUGUGACGUAGGCAACAAGCUGGCAUGCCGCUUUCAGUAACGGCUCUUAUGAUUCUGUCAGCCCUGGAUUGAGACCAGGGCCUGCAACUACCUCAACGUCGUCGUCUCGCCAGCCCCAACUUGGCGACGCUAUCAAUAAAUAGAGAAAACCCUAAAUUGCUCUCUACAUAAUUCUCUGUUCUGUGUCUCCUUCCCUCUGAGAACGUUGUUCAUUCCUCUUCCUAAAAUGGUUUCUCUUUCUUCUCUGUCUUUUAUGAUAUUGAAUUAAGCGAAUCUAUUUUAGGAAGGGAACGAACACCGUCGCCAGAUUGAUUAUCUAAUUUCAACGUACUUAAAUUUAUUCAACUAUUUCUUGCUAUGACAAAAUUUCUCUCUAACAGUGCUAAGGAACGUCAACGGAGCUUCAGAUUUGACUUUACAACCAUCUGAAGGUUUUAAUGAAGCUCCUAAGCACAAUACUUGAGAGGCAUGGUAUUUCGGUAGAUCAUCAUAUAUUUAUCCAUUAAAAAAUUGCAUGCCCUGGUUUCCUUUGAAGUUUGUGAAUAUUACGGAACUCCUCAAGCAUCUUCUAUGUAAUUGUCGUGAUAUGUAUUCUGCCUAGAACAAGUAGUUAAUGAGAUGUUAAAUCACGGCAUAUGAAUGCAUUAUUCUACGAUUACUAAUGAGUUGACCUAGAACCCAACAGAUUCCAUGUGCUAGAUAUAUUCCUCCAUACCACCUAAUAAAAUUUAAACUUGAAAAUUUGUGAUA
Molecule: long non-coding RNA, 774 nt
Organism: Hevea brasiliensis (rubber tree)
Lineage: Eukaryota; Viridiplantae; Streptophyta; Magnoliopsida; Malpighiales; Euphorbiaceae
Exons: 2
Source: RefSeq, a predicted model, not a curated record